RNAcentral lists this long non-coding RNA (977 nucleotides) under Homo sapiens (human). RNAcentral describes it as "long independently transcribed non-coding RNA 1808, transcript variant 3 (LINC01808)". The record is from RNAcentral. Lineage: Eukaryota; Metazoa; Chordata; Mammalia; Primates; Hominidae.
AUGGGGAGUGGGAAGGUUCUGGGAGGGCAUAUGGCACCCAGAAUAUGGCUGUAGGCAUUUGUAAAUGGGGUUGUUGACAUUGAGCUUUCAGGAAGAGAAGAUUAAGACACAGAGAUACCAGAGAGGUCGUUCACAGAGGAAAGACCAUGUGAAGACGCAGUGAGAAGGUGGCCAUAUUCAAGCUGAGGAGAGAGACCUCAGAAGAAACCAAUACUGCCAACGCCUUGGUCUUGGACUUCCAGCCUCCAGAACUUGGACUCUACCUUCCUUCCCCUGAUUCUCAUGAGAAUCUGAUCUUCGCUAAAGUGGGCAAGGUCCUGGAUCAGAAGAUGCCUGACAAGAGGCCACUAUCAGCAGCAACAGCACAGUGGGGACAAACCUGAGACCUUGAUGGACCGUGGACACCAGCAGGAGAGACAGAGGAACUUGAAGUCUAAAUGGGCAGACAAGACCAACAUACACAAAGCAGAGAGUGGCACAAGAGCCAUGUCUGAUGCAACAGUGACUCAGGAGGAUCACUCUGACUCAGAAUGGCCAAGCAAAGAAUUGAAAUUGAGUAACGUUUAACAGAAGGUGUCUGAUUACAACAAUGCCCUGGCUGUGAAGAGAACAAAUUCAGAACUUUCUCCUAAGGAGAGAAGGAGCAAACUGUUACUCUCUUGUCAAAUCCAGUUUUCUUUUAAUCUCUGAUAAUGUUUCACAUUGAACCAAUGCCUUUAAUAUGACUUAGUGCUUUAGGAAAAUAGUAUCACCUCAGGAUAUUUAGGUAACUAAACCAGCAGAUCCAAUAAGUGUUAUCUUUCAGAGUCAGCCUUCUGAAGGAGGCUAGAUGCACAUGUGAAUGACUUUGCCAUAGCACAGAAUGCGUCUGGAUCAUACUUCUGGAAAUUCCUCUGGAACCACUGUGUAAAUGAAGCUAUCAGGAAAUCUCAUUGCUUUGUAAUCAUGCUUUACUUUUGACUAAAAAGUAAAAACAC